AGGUGCUGCAUUGGCUGUCGUCAGCUCGUGUCGUGGGAUGUUGGGUUAAGUCCCGCAACGAGCGCAACCCUUUGUCUUUAAUUGCCAUCAUUUAGUUGGGCACUUUAAAGAGACUGCCGGUGUCAAACCGGAGGAAGGUGGGGAUGACGUCAAGUCCUCAUGGCCUUUAUGACCAGGGCUACACACGUACUACAAUGGCCGGUACAAAGGGCAGCCACUUAGCGAUAAGGAGCCAAUCCCGUAAAGCCGGUCUCAGUCCGGAUUGUUCUCUGCAACUCGAGAGCAUGAAGUCGGAAUCGCUAGUAAUCGCAGGUCAGCAUACUGCGGUGAAUACGUUCCCGGGUCUU
RNAcentral lists this ribosomal RNA (347 nucleotides) under uncultured Desulfocapsa sp. RNAcentral's name for it is "bacterial SSU rRNA". It matches the Rfam family "Bacterial small subunit ribosomal RNA", at positions 1036 to 1382 of the family's 1533-position model. Lineage: Bacteria; Pseudomonadati; Thermodesulfobacteriota; Desulfobulbia; Desulfobulbales; Desulfocapsaceae. The record is from RNAcentral.